Molecule: long non-coding RNA, 801 nt
Organism: Clarias gariepinus (North African catfish)
Lineage: Eukaryota; Metazoa; Chordata; Actinopteri; Siluriformes; Clariidae
Exons: 3
Source: RefSeq, a predicted model, not a curated record
UUAAGUGGAAGCGCGAAACAUUUAUAGCUAAUAAAAAGAAAUUAGAAACUUCGAAAUUUGUUUAAAUUUGUGGUCUGUUGAAGUUACAAAGUACCCGUGGCAAUCGUGUUUCAUACAGAGAACAUUUGUGUGUGAUGUUACAGGGUGAGCACUGAGAUUCCUUACCAAUUCACUUAUGUUUCAACUAAACAUGAAGGGAUCACGAGGGGAUAAAACAUCAUUUGACAGCGCUGUGCAAAUUAAUAACUGACAGUGUAGUAAAGGCGCAUGAUGUUACAGAAGCCUUUGCCCUCAGCACCAUUGCCAGUAAUCCUUGCACCUAAGAGGAAAGAAAGGCUGGAUGCAGUGUCAUUUAUUAAGUGUUAAGUAAAUGUUUUUGUAAUUUUGUUUCUUUUGCUGUUUGAGACAGUUUUCUAUCUUCUCUUAGAUGUUUUGUUGGUUUAAUUAGUCUUUUAGUAUUCACAUUUUUAUGGUAUUUUAGUAUUAUGCACUACACCCAGUUUUUAUGUGCAUUUUGUAUUGUUUGUUUUGAAAUAUGAAUAAAUUAUUGGUUAUUACAACUUUUAUGUAAUUUGUGUCUGCUUUACACUUGAUGUUGUAGACAUUUUAAACUUUGCAGAAUUUACGUUGAACACAACACGUAUUUUCCAUGGGCUUAUAUCCAUGUCUUUUCCAAGUGGUAAAAAACACGUGGAUUCCAUGUGUCAAAUCCACGUGGAAUUGGACUUGCCUUUUACGCCUAAAUUACCCGGCUUUUCCACGUGGUGAAAACACGUCUUCUUUACGUGGUUUCCACGAGUU